Molecule: transfer RNA, 131 nt
Filed under: Solimonas marina
Lineage: Bacteria; Pseudomonadati; Pseudomonadota; Gammaproteobacteria; Nevskiales; Nevskiaceae
Description: tRNA-OTHER
Source: RNAcentral
GCGCCUCGUUAUUCGGUAAUUGUGAUACUGGCGAGAUAAAUUAAGUUAAUGAUUUUAUUGUUAAAAAUUAACAUUUGAGCACUUGGCUACGAACUAAGGGGUCGGAGGUUCGAAUCCUUCCGGGCGCGCCA